UACGAGGGGGGCGAGCGUUGUUCGGAAUUAUUGGGCGUAAAGGGUGCGUAGGCGGUUUGGUAAGUCUUGUGUGAAAUCUUCGGGCUCAACUCGAAGUCUGCACGAGAAACUGCCGGGCUUGAGUACGGGAGAGGCGAGUGGAAUUCCUGGUGUAGCGGUGAAAUGCGCAGAUAUCAGGAGGAACACCGAUUGCGAAGGCAGCUCGCUGGAACGUUACUGACGCUGAGACGCGAAAGCGUGGGGAGCAAACAGG
RNAcentral lists this ribosomal RNA (253 nucleotides) under uncultured bacterium. RNAcentral's name for it is "partial 16S ribosomal RNA". It matches the Rfam family "Bacterial small subunit ribosomal RNA", at positions 524 to 776 of the family's 1533-position model. The record is from RNAcentral.